RNAcentral lists this transfer RNA (69 nucleotides) under Galaxias olidus. RNAcentral describes it as "tRNA-His". It matches the Rfam family "tRNA". From Rfam's summary of the family: Transfer RNA (tRNA) molecules are approximately 80 nucleotides in length. Their secondary structure includes four short double-helical elements and three loops (D, anti-codon, and T loops). Lineage: Eukaryota; Metazoa; Chordata; Actinopteri; Galaxiiformes; Galaxiidae. The record is from RNAcentral.
GUAGACAUAGUUAAAUUAGAACGUUAGAUUGUGAUUCUAGAAGCAGGGGUUGAACCCCCCUUGUCUACC